This 500-nucleotide ribosomal RNA is filed under the name uncultured bacterium. RNAcentral describes it as "partial 16S ribosomal RNA". It matches the Rfam family "Bacterial small subunit ribosomal RNA", at positions 30 to 523 of the family's 1533-position model. The record is from RNAcentral.
AUUGAACGCUGGCGGAAUGCUUUACACAUGCAAGUCGAACGGCUGCACGGACUUCGGUCUGGUGGCGAGUGGCGAACGGGUGAGUAACAUAUCGGAACGUAUCCAAUAAUGGGGGAUAACGAGUCGAAAGAUUCGCUAAUACCGCAUACGCCCUACGGGGGAAAGCUGGGGACCUUCGGGCCUGGCGUUAAUGGAGCGGCCGAUAUCUGAUUAGCUAGUUGGUGAGGUAAAGGCUCACCAAGGCGACGAUCAGUAGCUGGUCUGAGAGGACGACCAGCCACACUGGAACUGAGCCACGGUCCAGACUCCUACGGGAGGCAGCAGAGGGGAAUUUUGGACAAUGGGCGCAAGCCUGAUCCAGCCAUUCCGCGUGAGUGAAGAAGGCCUUCGGGUUGUAAAGCUCUUUCGCAAGGGAAGAAAACUUAGCCACUAACAUUGGUUGAGGUUGACGGUACCUUGAUAAGAAGCACCGGCUAACUACGUGCCAGCCGCCGCGGUAA